Molecule: non-coding RNA, 584 nt
Organism: Pelobates cultripes (western spadefoot toad)
Lineage: Eukaryota; Metazoa; Chordata; Amphibia; Anura; Pelobatidae
Source: the annotation of a GenBank genome assembly
GUUGCAUUCACUAUAGUCAAGACUCACAGGCCUCACAAAUGUAGCAAGUUAUCGUUCAUCACUUUUCCUGAUCAAUCAUGGCAGCAUUUACUCAUGGGUUAGCUCCUCCGCUCACAGCAGAAAUGACAGGAAAUAGAACUCUGAAACUGGUAUAAAUAGACCCUCCCCUUUCCCAUCAGCCAGUCUUCCCCUCACCCUCCCUGUCUUUCACAGCAGUUUUGAAGGAGUCUGCUUAGGCAGGCCUAGAAUUUUCUUCUAUAUUCCCUGGGCCAAUGUUUUUGUAGCCCUGCCAGGGUUCAACCUCUAAGCCCUGGAGACCCAGCUAAUGGCACAUAUGUAAGAGUUGCCAGCCUGGGUAUGCCCUUUAGUGACCAGGGGUCUGAACCAAUCUCUCCCUCAGGGGAUGACAGUGGUCCACUGGAUACAUGAGGCUCAACUCCUUCCCUGAAGACCCAGUAAACUCCACUUCCAUAAAGUGACUACCUAGGUAUACUUAGUUUUUGUAUACCACCAUAUCCGGGGUCUGUUUUAACCCCUUAAGGACACCGCUUCAAAAGCUUGUCUUACACUUAAGGACACAAGCC